Telopea speciosissima is the source of this 150-nucleotide long non-coding RNA. RefSeq lists it as uncharacterized. The transcript has 3 exons. NCBI's taxonomy places the organism in Eukaryota, Viridiplantae, Streptophyta, Magnoliopsida, Proteales, Proteaceae. The record is from RefSeq and is a predicted model, not a curated record.
UCCCGCUAAAAGACAACAGCGAUUAUUUAACUGUCGUCAUCAGCAGCAAUGGACUUUGACGAACCGUUACCAGUCUUCUUUGGCAACAAGAGAUUGUGAAUGUUAGGCAUCACGUCACCGUUGGAUAUUGUAACAGCACCAAGCAACUUG